GCGGACGUAGCUCAAUGGUAGAGCCCCAGCCUUCCAAGCUGGUCAUGCGGGUUCGAUUCCCGUCGUCCGCU
This 71-nucleotide transfer RNA is filed under the name Acidimicrobiales bacterium. RNAcentral's name for it is "tRNA-Gly". It matches the Rfam family "tRNA". Rfam says of the family: Transfer RNA (tRNA) molecules are approximately 80 nucleotides in length. Their secondary structure includes four short double-helical elements and three loops (D, anti-codon, and T loops). The record is from RNAcentral. Lineage: Bacteria; Bacillati; Actinomycetota; Acidimicrobiia; Acidimicrobiales. RNAcentral also lists the same sequence under 1 other name.